This 459-nucleotide ribosomal RNA is filed under the name uncultured bacterium. Its description in RNAcentral is "partial 16S ribosomal RNA". It matches the Rfam family "Bacterial small subunit ribosomal RNA", at positions 338 to 795 of the family's 1533-position model. The record is from RNAcentral.
CCUACGGGAGGCAGCAGUGAGGAAUAUUGGUCAAUGGGAGAGAUCCUGAACCAGCCAAGCCGCGUGAGGGAAGACGGCCCUAUGUGUUGUAAACCUCUUUUGUCGGGGAACAAAACCCGGGACGUGUCCCGGACUGCGUGUAUCCGAAGAAAAAGCAUCGGCUAACUCCGUGCCAGCAGCCGCGGUAAUACGGGGGAUGCGAGCGUUAUCCGGAUUUAUUGGGUUUAAAGGGUCGGUAGGCGGUCCGUUAAGUCAGCGGUAAAAUUGCGGGGCUAAACCCCGUCGAGCCGUUGCAACUGGCAGACUGGAGUUGGCGAGAGGUACGCGGAAUGCGCGGUGUAGCGGUGAAAUGCAUAGAUAUCGCGCAGAACUCCGAUUGCGAAGGCAGCGUACCGGCGCCAGACUGACGCUGAGGCACGAAAGCGUGGGGAUCGAACAGGAUUAGAUACCCCAGUAGUC